This 253-nucleotide ribosomal RNA is filed under the name uncultured bacterium. RNAcentral describes it as "partial 16S ribosomal RNA". It matches the Rfam family "Bacterial small subunit ribosomal RNA", at positions 524 to 776 of the family's 1533-position model. The record is from RNAcentral.
UACGAAGGGUGCAAGCGUUAAUCGGAAUCACUGGGCGUAAAGGGCGCGUAGGCGGCUCAUGAAGGCUGUGGUGAAAGUCCGGGGCUCAACCUCGGAUCGGCCGUGGCGACUCGUGGGCUGGAGCACUGUAGAGGCGGGUGGAAUUCCGGGUGUAGCGGUGGAAUGCGUAGAGAUCCGGAAGAACACCAGUGGCGAAGGCGGCCCGCUGGGCAGUGGCUGACGCUGAGGCGCGACAGCGUGGGGAGCAAACAGG